This 556-nucleotide long non-coding RNA is filed under the name Olea europaea (common olive). Its description in RNAcentral is "long non-coding RNA (OEUR_LNC004174)". Lineage: Eukaryota; Viridiplantae; Streptophyta; Magnoliopsida; Lamiales; Oleaceae. The record is from RNAcentral.
CUCUCUCUCUCUCUCCCCCCUCCCAAAACGAUGCUGCCGGAGACAGCUCUAUUUGUCGUCCCGACGACACAAUAGUAUCAGGAUGCAGACAUGAUCCCCUUUCACUACCCUAUUAGUUGCACUAAAACACGCACACAAAUCACAGACGAAGCAAGUUGUGGUUUUCAGCAGAUGCAGCAUCAUCUCCGAUUCUGAUUAGAUCCACUUUGCGAUGGUUUUGGUAAAUCUACUUGGGGUGUGGCGGCGGCGGCGGCGUGGUGACAAUAAUUUUGGAUUUGGAUUUGGAUUUUUUUUUUUUUUUUUGGUAAAGUGGUGGUAUUUUGCUGUGGUGUAGUUGUGCAAUGAAUUUGGGUGUUGGUGGCGCUGUUAGUGGUGGUGCGGUGGUUGGGUAUGGUGUGUGCGUGCGUGGGGUUGUGGUGGUAUUUUCUGUGAUUCGGUGGUGGCUCUGUUGUGUUGGAUCUGGUCUUGGUGGCGGUGGCUCUGUUCGAUGGUAGCGAUUUUUUGCUGUGGUGAAUCUGUUGGUGUGUUGUGUUGACCGAUUUGUCGUGAGUUGGUG